This 301-nucleotide ribosomal RNA is filed under the name uncultured bacterium. RNAcentral's name for it is "partial 16S ribosomal RNA". It matches the Rfam family "Bacterial small subunit ribosomal RNA", at positions 509 to 809 of the family's 1533-position model. The record is from RNAcentral.
CAGCAGCCGCGGUAAUACGCAGGUGGCAAGCGUUGUCCGGAAUUAUUGGGCGUAAAGGGCUCGCAGGCGGUUUCUUAAGUCUGAUGUGAAAGCCCCCGGCUCAACCGGGGAGGGUCAUUGGAAACUGGGAAACUUGAGUGCAGAAGAGGAGAGUGGAAUUCCACGUGUAGCGGUGAAAUGCGUAGAGAUGUGGAGGAACACCAGUGGCGAAGGCGACUCUCUGGUCUGUAACUGACGCUGAGGAGCGAAAGCGUGGGGAGCGAACAGGAUUAGAUACCCCCGUAGUCCCUGUCUCUUAUAA